RNAcentral lists this ribosomal RNA (700 nucleotides) under Escherichia coli. RNAcentral's name for it is "partial 23S ribosomal RNA". It matches the Rfam family "Bacterial large subunit ribosomal RNA", at positions 923 to 1625 of the family's 2925-position model. Lineage: Bacteria; Pseudomonadati; Pseudomonadota; Gammaproteobacteria; Enterobacterales; Enterobacteriaceae. The record is from RNAcentral.
GGGGUCAUCCCGACUUACCAACCCGAUGCAAACUGCGAAUACCGGAGAAUGUUAUCACGGGAGACACACGGCGGGUGCUAACGUCCGUCGUGAAGAGGGAAACAACCCAGACCGCCAGCUAAGGUCCCAAAGUCAUGGUUAAGUGGGAAACGAUGUGGGAAGGCCCAGACAGCCAGGAUGUUGGCUUAGAAGCAGCCAUCAUUUAAAGAAAGCGUAAUAGCUCACUGGUCGAGUCGGCCUGCGCGGAAGAUGUAACGGGGCUAAACCAUGCACCGAAGCUGCGGCAGCGACACUAUGUGUUGUUGGGUAGGGGAGCGUUCUGUAAGCCUGUGAAGGUGGCCUGUGAGGGUUGCUGGAGGUAUCAGAAGUGCGAAUGCUGACAUAAGUAACGAUAAAGCGGGUGAAAAGCCCGCUCGCCGGAAGACCAAGGGUUCCUGUCCAACGUUAAUCGGGGCAGGGUGAGUCGACCCCUAAGGCGAGGCCGAAAGGCGUAGUCGAUGGGAAACAGGUUAAUAUUCCUGUACUUGGUGUUACUGCGAAGGGGGACGGAGAAGGCUAUGUUGGCCGGGCGACGGUUGUCCCGGUUUAAGCGUGUAGGCUGGUUUUCCAGGCAAAUCCGGAAAACCAAGGCUGAGGCGUGAUGACGAGGCACUACGGUGCUGAAGCGACAAAUGCCCUGCUUCCAGGAAAAGCCUCUAAG